Paramisgurnus dabryanus is the source of this 1122-nucleotide long non-coding RNA. RefSeq lists it as uncharacterized. NCBI's taxonomy places the organism in Eukaryota, Metazoa, Chordata, Actinopteri, Cypriniformes, Cobitidae. The record is from RefSeq and is a predicted model, not a curated record.
CGGACACAGAUUUCAAAGGCAGCAGGAUAAAGGAUAAACAGUUAAGAAUUACUGUGAUCAUAUUAUAAUGAAGUAAUCGAACUUCGUUAUCUGGUCUUCCUGCUGUGUAUCAGGUCUGUGUUCAUCAAGACAUGAAGACUCUGAGAGUGGGACAAGAGAAGGCUGUUGGGGUGUUAUUCCAAUAGACACAUUAAGGUAAAGCGGUGGUACAAUGAUGCAGACAGGACAGGAGGAGGUGACAUUCCGACAUUCAGCGCAGACACUUUCAUCCAAAGCAACUUGAGGAAGAAAACAAGAAGCAGUUCAUCCUAAAAGUGGGCUGUUGUAAUGUUUACAUCUAUGGAAAGAGGAGCUGAGAAGAAAAGAGACACUGGAAAGCAGUACUUCUUGUUGAGGACAAUCCUGAAUAGGAACACUUUCUCAUACACAUAGAUUAUUAUUAGUGUUUGAUUUUUUUUUUUUCAUUUUUAUUAAUUGUAUUGUUUUAAUUUUUCGUUUUAUUUGAAAUUACCCAAGUUAUAUUCAUGCUAAUACUUUAACUGGAACUUGUAUGUUUGCGUGAAGCUGGCUGUAGAGUUGGUUUCACAUGAAGUUUCUAAAUAACUUAACUAACUUUUAAGUUCAGUUUGGUUUAAACCCAUGGUAAUUCUUUUAAAUUUCAAUUCAUGCUAAAAUAUUAAUUUCAAUGAAAACUUCUGUAUUUGUGUAUAGCUGGUAAUUUGGGCAGACUAAAUUUCACACACUGUAACUGUCACAAAGUUUUUUUUAUUAUUAGUUUGUUCUAAACUUUUGUUUGUUUACUAAGGAUGAAAUUGCUUUGUAAUUUGUUGGUGUUAGUUUCAUGCCAAUAAUGUAGUUGAACAAACUAGUACUUUUGUUUAUUGCUGGCAGUUUAUACUAGAAGAGUUUUAACACAUACAAUGUCGUAGUGUUAUUGACUUGUGUGUUAUUGAUUAAUAAAAAGGCAAACAAUUUGAAAGUAAUUUUUCGUGUGAUUUAUUUAUUAAUAUAAUUUGGGCAAGAUAAGGCUGAGUUAUGGCUCAGUUUUGGAAGUUCUGGUUAAAUGCUGGUUUUAAUAUGGUUGAGAACUGGUACCAAUGUUAGAUUAUGGGCUAUUAUCUG